GAAACUGGGGAUAAUUCCGGAUAGUUCAUGGUAGCGGAAUGCUCCAUGAUCGAAAGCUAUUGCGCCUAAGGAUGGUCUGCGGUCUAUCAGGUAGUAGUGGGUGUAAUGUACCUACUAGCCGACGACGGAUACGGGUUGUGGGAGCAAGAGCCCGGAGAUGGAUUCUGAGACAUGAAUCCAGGCCCUACGGGGCGCAGCAGGCGCGAAAACUUUACAAUGCGGGAAACCGCGAUAAGGGGACACCGAGUGCCAGCAUCUUAUGUUGGCUGUCCGCAUGUAUAAAUCACAUGUGUUAGCAAGGGCCGGGCAAGACCGGUGCCAGCCGCCGCGGUAACACCGGCGGCCCGAGUGGUGGCCACUAUUAUUGGGUCUAAAGGGUCCGUAGCCGGUUUGGUCAGUCUUCCGGGAAAUCUGACGGCUUAACCGUUAGGCUUUCGGGGGAUACUACCAGGCUUGGGACCGGGAGAGGUAAGAGGUACUACGGGGGUAGGAGUGAAAUCUUGUAAUCCUCGUGGGACCACCAGUGGCGAAGGCGUCUUACCAGAACGGGUCCGACGGUGAGGGACGAAAGCUGGGGGCACGAACCGGAUUAGAUACCCGGGUAGUCCCAGCCGUAAACUAUGCUCGCUAGGUGUCAGGGACGGUGCGACCGUUUCUGGUGCCGCAGGGAAGCCGUGAAGCGAGCCACCUGGGAAGUACGGUCGCAAGGCUGAAACUUAAAGGAAUUGGCGGGGGAGCACUACAACGGGUGGAGCCUGCGGUUUAAUUGGACUCAACGCCGGAAAACUCACCGGGGGCGACAGCAAUAUGUAGGUCAAGCUAAAGACUUUACCAGAAUCGCUGAGAGGAGGUGCAUGGCCGUCGUCAGUUCGUACUGUGAAGCAUCCUGUUAAGUCAGGCAACGAGCGAGACCCGUGCCCACUGUUGCCAGCAUAUCCUUUGGGAUGAUGGGUACUCUGUGGGGACCGCCGAUGCUAAAUCGGAGGAAGGUGCGGGCUACGGUAGGUCAGUAUGCCCCGAAUCUCCCGGGCUACACGCGGGCUACAAUGACUGGGACAAUGGGCUCCUACCCCGAGAGGGGAUGGUAAUCUCAUAAACCCAGCCGUAGUUCGGAUCGAGG
Molecule: ribosomal RNA, 1120 nt
Filed under: Methanomethylovorans thermophila
Lineage: Archaea; Methanobacteriati; Methanobacteriota; Methanomicrobia; Methanosarcinales; Methanosarcinaceae
Description: bacterial SSU rRNA
Rfam family: Archaeal small subunit ribosomal RNA
Source: RNAcentral